GUUUUGAGUUGAAGUUCAGCAGUACGUCUGUCUGUAUUCACUCUAUUUUUCACGGCUCGCAGGAAAAGUUCCUCAUAUCUAAACAACACCUAUCUGGAUUGGGUACGACAGCUGACGGUGAUAGAUAGCUGGGUCCAGGAUAGGCCUCCUGAGGAGUUAUGUGCUGGCCCGGGACAAGGAGCCAGGUGCCUCCUCCUCGGACCCUCCACCUGUCGCUAAAGUGCUUGAGCGCUGAGGUCGACUCUCCCUGUACUGCACGUACAGGGACGCCCCACCAGCAGUGGUCCCCUCUUCCUGUCUCUCCUCCUCUCAGCAACCACUUCAACAUUGACUUCCCCUCCACAAGGACCGGGACCUUGCCGUGGUGUGGAGGUUUCAUACAAACACCGGUCCACCCACCCUGCAACAACUCUUCUACAGGACAGUGACACUACGUUUCUUUAAAAAAAAAAAAAAAAAAAAACAUUCUAUGUCUGCUGUGAUGUGAUGUAUGUGGUUUAAAAAAAAAAAAAACCAUCCACACCACUGUGUUCUGCAUUCUGCAUCUCUACACUGAACACUUAUGCCGUGUGUCUGCUCUGAUGUUUUUAUUUUUUAUUAUUGUUUUGUAGUUUAAAAUAAACAAUCUAUAUGUAUAAUAUAUAGAAUAUAUAACACACUGUCAUGUCUAUGUGCUGUUAUGUUCUAUGCACUGACAAGUUGUAUAGACCUACUAUGUAACAUUUAGCCUAGGCCUACGUUUCAACAAGAACGCCCAGACCAAUACUGUUGACAGGAGCAUCAAUUAUCUAUUUCUACAGUAAGGAAUUUCCGUUGCCUACCAUAGGAGUUCAUCAAGUCUGAAGUAGCACGUCAAUGCAAAACAAUCCAUAGUUAGGCCUACGAGUUAUGAUGACAAUAAUGCUAGCCGCCAGCCUUGUCAAAGUUAACUUUGCUAACGUUUUGCUGAGCCUACCCUAUUGACUACAUUUGUUGCACACUUAAAAAAAUAUCUUCAAAAGUAUUUAGAAGGUGGUUUCAUUUAUUUCCAUUCCAAUAACUUCACACAUUACAUUUUCGUUUGCACUUGUAGGCUAUGCUGCAUUCAUUUCUUUGUUCCUACUAUUUAGUUUAUUUUCUGGAACUUCUAUUUCUCAGAGCCGUGUACGGCUCUGCUAUUUCUUAUCCUGGACUGCCACCUGCUGGAUAGAAAAAGCAACAGGUCAUUAUGUGAACAAAAAUCUACACGUUUGAAUGGCCAAAAAAAAGAUAAAUCAUAGGUGGUAUUCCCCACAUUACCAUGGUGUUAGGGUAGCCUACUCUGCACAUGUCAUUGACGGUGACUGCUAACUUCAGUCAUUUGCAUUUAUCAUGCUGAAAAUCUGACACCAGGCACUAUACUGAUGCCUGAC
Alosa sapidissima (American shad) is the source of this 1391-nucleotide long non-coding RNA. RefSeq lists it as uncharacterized. The record is from RefSeq and is a predicted model, not a curated record. Lineage: Eukaryota; Metazoa; Chordata; Actinopteri; Clupeiformes; Clupeidae. The transcript is spliced from 4 exons.